Molecule: ribosomal RNA, 460 nt
Filed under: uncultured bacterium
Lineage: Bacteria
Description: partial 16S ribosomal RNA
Rfam family: Bacterial small subunit ribosomal RNA
Source: RNAcentral
CCUACGGGCGGCAGCAGUGAGGAAUAUUGGUCAAUGGGCGCACGCCUGAACCAGCCAAGUAGCGUGAAGGAUGACUGCCCUACGGGUUGUAAACUUCUUUUAUCAAGGAGUAAAGUUAGGCACGUGUGCCUUUUUGUAUGUACUUUAUGAAUAAGGAUCGGCUAACUCCGUGCCAGCAGCCGCGGUAAUACGGAGGAUCCGAGCGUUAUCCGGAUUUAUUGGGUUUAAAGGGAGCGUAGAUGGGUUGUUAAGUCAGUUGUGAAAGUUUGCGGCUCAAACGUAAAAUUGCAAUUGAUACUGGCAGCCUUGAGUACAGUUGAGGUAGGCGGAAUGCGUGGUGUAGCGGUGAAAUGCUUAGAUAUCACGAAGAACUCCGAUUGCGAAGGCAGCUUACUAAACUGCCACUGACAUUGAUGCUCGAAAGUGUGGGUAUCAAACAGGAUUAGAUACCCCGGUAGUC